Molecule: long non-coding RNA, 420 nt
Filed under: Ananas comosus (pineapple)
Lineage: Eukaryota; Viridiplantae; Streptophyta; Magnoliopsida; Poales; Bromeliaceae
Description: long non-coding RNA (ACOM_LNC024131)
Source: RNAcentral
UAAAGAAGAGAAGAUGGAAAAUGGAUUGUCCUUCUAUGUUUUUUUUUUUGUGAGAAAGAUAGCAUACUACCUGCUUCGUUUAUUUCAUUUAGAAAUAAACUUAGCUAGAAAUGUGAAUCAACUAGGAUUCGAACUUGGGUCUCGGGUACCAACCACCAAGCCCUUUGCCACUUGCGCUAGGGUGGUCGGUGAUUAUCCUUCAAUGUUAGCAUGAAAAGCUGUCAUCUUAUAAGACAAUUUGUCUGCAAUAGUGAGACCUAGACUCUGAUAGCAAAUGUCAGAUUUUUGGUGCUAACUAUUAAUUUCAAAAACUCGAGCAGUUAGAAAGAUGUAACCAAUUCACUUAAAACAUAUAGACACAGCGUAUGCAGGUCUCGAUUGUGAUUCGAAGCAACCAGCAUCCUGCCACUUCAAACAUAA